UCCCAAACUGGGAUUAGAUACCCCACUAUGCUUAGCCCUAAACCUAGAUAGUUAGCUCAAACAAAACUAUCCGCCAGAGAACUACUAGCAACAGCUUAAAACUCAAAGGACUUGGCGGUGCUUYWYAUCCMYCUAGAGGAGCCUGUUCUAUAAUCGAUAAACCCCGAUAAACCUCACCAUCUCUUGCUAAUUCAGCCUAUAUACCGCCAUCUUCAGCAAACA
Molecule: ribosomal RNA, 222 nt
Filed under: Panthera onca (jaguar)
Lineage: Eukaryota; Metazoa; Chordata; Mammalia; Carnivora; Felidae
Description: partial 12S ribosomal RNA
Rfam family: Bacterial small subunit ribosomal RNA
Source: RNAcentral